This 465-nucleotide ribosomal RNA is filed under the name Vreelandella stevensii. RNAcentral describes it as "partial 16S ribosomal RNA". It matches the Rfam family "Bacterial small subunit ribosomal RNA", at positions 338 to 795 of the family's 1533-position model. Lineage: Bacteria; Pseudomonadati; Pseudomonadota; Gammaproteobacteria; Oceanospirillales; Halomonadaceae. The record is from RNAcentral.
CCUACGGGUGGCUGCAGUGGGGAAUAUUGGACAAUGGGCGAAAGCCUGAUCCAGCCAUGCCGCGUGUGUGAAGAAGGCCUUCGGGUUGUAAAGCACUUUCAGUGGGGAAGAAAGCCUUGGGGCUAAUACCCUCGAGGAAGGACAUCACCCACAGAAGCAGCACCGACUAACUCCGUGCCAGCAGCCGCGGUAAUACGGAGGGUGCGAGCGUUAAUCGGAAUUACUGGGCGUAAAGCGUGCGUAGGCGGUCUGAUAAGCCGGUUGUGAAAGCCCCGGGCUCAACCUGGGAACGGCAUCCGGAACUGUCAGGCUAGAGUGCAGGAGAGGAAGGUAGAAUUCCCGGUGUAGCGGUGAAAUGCGUAGAGAUCGGGAGGAAUACCAGUGGCGAAGGCGGCCUUCUGGACUGACACUGACGCUGAGGUGCGAAAGCGUGGGUAGCAAACAGGAUUAGAUACCCGAGUAGUC